Molecule: ribosomal RNA, 400 nt
Filed under: uncultured bacterium
Lineage: Bacteria
Description: bacterial SSU rRNA
Rfam family: Bacterial small subunit ribosomal RNA
Source: RNAcentral
GGGGAAUAUUGCACAAUGGGCGAAAGCCUGAUGCAGCGACGCCGCGUGAGGGAAGAAGGUUUUCGGAUUGUAAACCUCUGUCUUCGGGGACGAUAAUGACGGUACCCGAGGAGGAAGCCACGGCUAACUACGUGCCAGCAGCCGCGGUAAAACGUAGGUGGCAAGCGUUGUCCGGAAUUACUGGGUGUAAAGGGAGCGCAGGCGGAAGGGCAAGUUGGGAGUGAAAACUAUGGGCUCAACCCAUAGACUGCUUUCAAAACUGCUUUUCUUGAGUGAUGUAGAGGUAGGCGGAAUUCCCGGUGUAGCGGUGGAAUGCGUAGAUAUCGGGAGGAACACCAGUGGCGAAGGCGGCCUACUGGGCAUUUACUGACGCUGAGGCUCGAAAGUAUGGGGAGCAAAC